GCAGGUGUGAUGUAAUUGGCAACAUGAAGCUUUCGUACAGCUUUCUUGCAGGUUCAAUUCCUGUCGCCUGCU
This 72-nucleotide transfer RNA is filed under the name soil metagenome. It matches the Rfam family "tRNA". From Rfam's summary of the family: Transfer RNA (tRNA) molecules are approximately 80 nucleotides in length. Their secondary structure includes four short double-helical elements and three loops (D, anti-codon, and T loops). The record is from RNAcentral. RNAcentral also lists the same sequence under 1 other name.